CGAGCAAGGAUGAAAAUCGGACUUAGUGAUCCGGUGGUUCUGCGUGGAAGGGCCAUCGCUCAACGGAUAAAAGCUACCCUGGGGAUAACAGGCUUAUCUCCCCCAAGAGUCCACAUCGACGGGGAGGUUUGGCACCUCGAUGUCGGCUCAUCACAUCCUGGGGCUGUAGUAGGUCCCAAGGGUUGGGCUGUUCGCCCAUUAAAGUGGUACGCGAGCUGGGUUCAGAACGUCGUGAGACAGUUCGGUCCCUAUCCGUCGCAGGCGUAGGAAAUUUGAGAAGACCUGUCCUUAGUACGAGAGGACCGGGAUGGACGUACCUCUGGUGUACCAGUUGUCCUGCCAAGGGCAUGGCUGGGUAGCUAUGUACGGAAUGGAUAAGCGCUGAAAGCAUCUAAGCGCGAAGCCAACUUCAAGAUAAGAUUUCCCACCGCAAGGGUAAGACCCCAGAAAGACUAUCUGGUUGAUAGGUCGAAGGUGUAAGUGCAGCAAUGUAUUUAGCUUAUCGAUACUAAUAGGUCGAGGACUUGACCAA
Molecule: ribosomal RNA, 532 nt
Filed under: Clostridioides difficile
Lineage: Bacteria; Bacillati; Bacillota; Clostridia; Peptostreptococcales; Peptostreptococcaceae
Description: partial 23S ribosomal RNA
Rfam family: Bacterial large subunit ribosomal RNA
Source: RNAcentral